GAUGAAGAACGUAGCGAAAUGCGAUACGUAAUGUGAAUUGCAGAAUUCAGUGAAUCAUCGAGUCUUUGAACGCACAUUGCGCCCCCUGGUAUUCCGGGGGGCAUGCCUGUCCGAGCGUCAUUGCUGCCCUCAAGCACGGCUUGUGUGUUGGGCCUCCGUCCUCCGCCCGGGGGACGGGCCCGAAAGGCAGCGGCGGCACCGCGUCCGGUCCUCGAGCGUAUGGGGCUUCGUCACCCGCUCUUGUAGGCCCGGCCGGCGCUUGCCGACACAUCAAUCUUUUUUCCAGGUUGACCUCGGAUCAGGUAGGGAUACCCGCUGAACUUAAGCAUAUCAAUAAGCGGAGGA
RNAcentral lists this unclassified non-coding RNA (345 nucleotides) under soil metagenome. RNAcentral describes it as "partial contains 5.8S ribosomal RNA, internal transcribed spacer 2, and large subunit ribosomal RNA". The stretch from base 1 to 120 matches the Rfam family "5.8S ribosomal RNA", at positions 35 to 154 of the family's 154-position model. The record is from RNAcentral.